RNAcentral lists this ribosomal RNA (253 nucleotides) under uncultured bacterium. Its description in RNAcentral is "partial 16S ribosomal RNA". It matches the Rfam family "Bacterial small subunit ribosomal RNA", at positions 524 to 776 of the family's 1533-position model. The record is from RNAcentral.
UACGUAGGUGGCAAGCGUUGUCCGGAUUUACUGGGUGUAAAGGGCGUGUAGCCGGGCUGACAAGUCAGAUGUGAAAUCCGGGGGCUCAACCCCCGAACUGCAUUUGAAACUGUUGGUCUUGAGUACUGGGGAGGCAGACGGAAUUCCUAGUGUAGCGGUGAAAUGCGUAGAUAUUAGGAGGAACACCAGUGGCGAAGGCGGUCUGCUGGACAGCAACUGACGGUGAGGCGCGAAAGCGUGGGGAGCAAACAGG